AAGCUAAAGUCUAUAAAUCUUGUUUUCCCCUUGCACUAUCAUUCAUCUCCACGUUGUGGUGAAAGGAUUUUCAAAGUCAUUGUUUCUGCUUCCGAAGAUGAAUGGUUCUUUAGCAAAGCUGAUGGCAAUUACAACACUAGUGUUGCUUCUGAUGGGGGAUUUCCAAGCAACUUGUGGACUACUUCCUCAUGGUAUAUCUAAUAAUUAUCUUCCUUUUAUGAGAUCUCUAAGCCUUAGCAUUAGCUACUUAAUUAAAUCGACUUAGUUUUUACCAAUUUUAUUAUUUGGUAGCUAAUUUCUUGCUUCUUGUGAUUUUCUCAUAUAAUUGAACAAGAUUGCUUUGAAUGUCAAAGUGAUAUUUUGAGCACGAAAGUGGUGCCCGUUCGCCGCAGCCUAAGACCAUUCAAAAGGCCACCACCCGCACCUGCUCGCAAUAAACCGGAAUCGCAUACGCCUGAGGUACAAGUGAAAUAAACAAACAUAAAACCCUUGGCAGAAACUCCCUGGAGCACUUCAUCGUUCCUAUUUUCUUGUAUUUUUAUUUGUUUUCUUAAGAGGAGUUAAGUUUAUAUCCCCCGUUCUUUUAUUGUAUUUUUUACUUUAUUAUUUCUUCUUAUAUU
This 620-nucleotide long non-coding RNA is filed under the name Malus domestica (apple). Its description in RNAcentral is "long non-coding RNA (MDOM_LNC006298)". Lineage: Eukaryota; Viridiplantae; Streptophyta; Magnoliopsida; Rosales; Rosaceae. The record is from RNAcentral.